AGAACGAACGCUGGCGGCAUGCCUAACACAUGCAAGUCGAACGAAGCCUUCGGGCUUAGUGGCGCACGGGUGCGUAACGCGUGGGAAUCUGCCCCUCGGUUCGGAAUAACAGUUAGAAAUGACUGCUAAUACCGGAUGAUGACGAAAGUCCAAAGAUUUAUCGCCGAGGGAUGAGCCCGCGUAGGAUUAGCUAGUUGGUGAGGUAAAGGCUCACCAAGGCGACGAUCCUUAGCUGGUCUGAGAGGAUGAUCAGCCACACUGGGACUGAGACACGGCCCAAACUCCUACGGAGGCAGCAGGUGGGAAUAUUGGACAAGUGGGCGAAAGCCUGAUCCAG
Molecule: ribosomal RNA, 337 nt
Filed under: uncultured soil bacterium
Lineage: Bacteria
Description: bacterial SSU rRNA
Rfam family: Bacterial small subunit ribosomal RNA
Source: RNAcentral